RNAcentral lists this long non-coding RNA (727 nucleotides) under Felis catus (domestic cat). Its description in RNAcentral is "lncRNA (ENSFCAG00000050394.1)". The record is from RNAcentral. Lineage: Eukaryota; Metazoa; Chordata; Mammalia; Carnivora; Felidae.
AAUGGUUUGGAGACCAGUGUGAAAUUUAUCCCUGUUGAAGUCCUCCUACAUUUAUUCAAGGCCUUGGUUAAAACCCACCUGAUGCCCACCUGUCUUGAGAAUUUACAAUAUUAUUACUAAAAAUGAGUACUAAUGCUACUGGUAUAUUAAUUCAGUUGAGGACUAUAGAUCUCAUAAUCUCCAUUUUAUGGGUGAGAAAACUGAAGAACGGAGAGGCUAUCUAACACCCAAGUGGCUGAGCCAGGAUUCUAAAUUCACAGCUCAGUAUGUAACUGCCAACUUGAGCCUCUCAUCUAGACUGGAGGAUUAGGUUAGACUGAAGUAUGUUAUUCCAGUAUACAAUUUUCAUGAGUUAGUCAAUACAGAGUCAAUACGAAAAUUCUAACACAGUAUUAUAUAGGCUAAGAAAUUUUGUUGAUUGCUGCCAGUUCAGCAAAUGCUGAGAAAAAUUCUGCAUCCUAAAAAAUAUCAUUUAAGUUAAGUGAAUUACCUAUCCUCUUACACCGAGCUCUCCCUGUUACUUAAUGUCCAGCAACUUAAUGGGAAACAUCUUUGGAAAAGUUUUAUCAUGACUGUGGCACAUCAUUUAUGCACUGGGAAACUACUCCUCCCUUUGGAAGAUGGAACCAGAAGAGGAAACCGCCCUACACCUGUAGCUGACCUUUGCAAUAGGUUGUUAUGGGCGACUCUGAUAAGCAAAAAGGAGGCGUGGAGUAGAUGGAAGUAA